Molecule: ribosomal RNA, 3204 nt
Filed under: Hyphomonadaceae bacterium
Lineage: Bacteria; Pseudomonadati; Pseudomonadota; Alphaproteobacteria; Hyphomonadales; Hyphomonadaceae
Description: 23S ribosomal RNA
Rfam family: Bacterial large subunit ribosomal RNA
Source: RNAcentral
AGAAUCAAGCGUUACAAGGGCGUUUAGUGGAUGCCUUGGCGCACAGAGGCGAUGAAAGACGUGAUACGCUGCGAUAAGCCCGGGGAAGAUGCGAAUAAUCUGUGAUCCCGGGAUUUCUGAAUGGGGAAACCCACCUUUACAGACCUUGAUAAUUAACUCUCCUUGCGAGAGCCUGUUAUCGGGGUUUGUGUCAGGUAUUAAUAACUGAAUACAUAGGUUAUUAAAGCAAACCCGGGGAACUGAAACAUCUCAUUACCCGGAGGAAAGAACAUCAACCGAGACUCCGUUAGUAGUGGCGAGCGAACGCGGACCAGGCCUUGCUUUGCAUAUCUAAUUCGAACGGUCUGGGAAGGCCGACCGUAGCGGGUGACAGUCCCGUAGAAGUGUUGAUGUGCGAAACUAUUGAGUAGGGCGGGACACGUGAAAUCCUGUCUGAAUACGGGGGGACCACCCUCCAAGCCUAAGUACUCCUGUGCGACCGAUAGUGAACCAGUACCGUGAGGGAAAGGUGAAAAGUACCCCGACGAGGGGAGUGAAACAGUACCUGAAACUGGACGUCUACAAGCUGUCGAAGCCAUCUUGCGUGGCGACGGCGUACCUUUUGUAUAAUGGGUCAGCGACUUGGGCUGUCUAGCAAGCUUAAGCCGUUAGGUGUAGGCGCAGCGAAAGCGAGUCUUAACAGGGCGGAUAGUUAGAUGGCUCAGACCCGAAACCAGGUGAUCUAGGCAUGUGCAGGUUGAAGGUGCGGUAACACGCACUGGAGGACCGAACCCACCUAUGUUGAAAAAUGGGGGGAUGACGUGUGCCUAGGGGUGAAAGGCCAAUCAAACCUGGAGAUAGCUGGUUCUCCGCGAAAUCUAUUUAGGUAGAGCGUCAGAUAUUACCGUUGGGGGUAGAGCACUGAAUGGGCUAGGGGGCCUCACCGGCUUACCAAACCUAAUCAAACUCCGAAUACCAAUGAGUACAGUCUGGCAGACACACUACGGGUGCUAAGGUCCGUAGUGGAAAGGGAAACAGCCCUGACCGCCGUCUAAGGUCCCCAAGUAACAGUUAAGUGGUAAAGCGUGUGAGAGUGCUUAGACAACCAGGAGGUUGGCUUAGAAGCAGCCAUCCUUUAAAGAUAGCGUAACAGCUCACUGGUCAAGCGCUCUUGCGGCGAAAAUGUAACGGGGCUUAAACUGUUCACCGAAGACGCGGGCGCCGGGCGAUUUUUACAUGAUAAUAAUUCAAAUAAACCGUCGAUAUUUCAACUUUGGGUUUGACGCCGCUGUGCGGUCCCUGUACCGGGGGCGCGUGUAACUUGGUGGCGUUGUCGCGUCCCUGUUUUGUUUGCAGGUAGGUGCAUGCGCGACGAGAAGCUUUGAAAAACUGCCUGAUGUUGAUCUGCAAAAGAUCAAGGCAAUGAGGUGUGAGGAUAUCGCGCGUGAUGAAAUCAGAAGGCGCGAGCGGGUUCUUUAUGAGGGAAACUGGCCAAGGAAUGCUAGGGGCCUUCUGGCUCGUGCCUAUUACGUGCUUUCUUUGAAGACUAUCAUGUAAAAAUCGCCCGGCGCGGUAGCGGAGCGUUCUGUGACAAAAGUACAUCUUCUGCAUUUUGUACGUGCAAUUCGUCUCCGUGACAGGUUGCAUGGGUAAUGCACGGGAGGUGUAUUUUCAGUGAAGCCGGGCCGUGAGGCAUCCGGUGGAGAGAUCAGAAGUGAGAAUGCUGACAUGAGUAACGAUAAAAGGGGUGAGAGACCCCUUCGCCGAAAGAUCAAGGUUUCCUGCGCAAUGUUAAUCAGCGCAGGGUUAGCCGGCCCCUAAGGCAAGGCCGAGAGGCGUAGUCGAUGGGAACCAGGUUAAUAUUCCUGGGCCAGCGGGCAGUGACGGAUUGAGUGUAUCGUAUUCCCUUACUGGAUUGGGAAUGCGGUGAAUUAGUCCCGGGAAACAGCUCCCGCGUUUAGACCGUACCCCAAACCGACACAGGUGAUCAGGUAGAGCAUACCAAGGCGCUUGAGAGAACUCUGCUGAAGGAACUCGGCAAAUUGCCUCCGUAAGUUCGCGAGAAGGAGGCCUGGCAUAAAGGCAACUUUUUGUCAGGGGCACAGACCAGGGGGUGGCGACUGUUUAUUAAAAACAUAGGGCUCUGCGAAGUCGCAAGACGAUGUAUAGGGUCUGACGCCUGCCCGGUGCUGGAAGGUUAAGAGGAGGAGUGCGAGCUCCGAAUUGAAGCCCCAGUAAACGGCGGCCGUAACUAUAACGGUCCUAAGGUAGCGAAAUUCCUUGUCGGGUAAGUUCCGACCUGCACGAAUGGCGUAACGACUUCCCCGCUGUCUCCAGCAGAGACUCAGUGAAAUUGAAUUCCUCGUGAAGAUGCGAGGUACCCGCGGCUAGACGGAAAGACCCCAUGAACCUUUACUACAGCUUCACAGUGGCAUUCGUAAUGAUCUGUGUAGGAUAGGCGGGAGACUUUGAAACACCGGCGCCAGCCAGUGUGGAGUCAUCCUUGAAAUACCGCCCUUAUCCUUAUGGAUGUCUAACCGCGGUCCGUUAUCCGGAUCCGGGACCCUGUGUGGUGGGUAGUUUGACUGGGGCGGUCGCCUCCCAAAAAGUAACGGAGGCGCGCGAUGGUAGGCUCAAUCCGGUCGGAAAUCGGAUGUUGAGUGCAAUGGCAUAAGCCUGCCUGACUGCGACACUGACAAGUGGAGCAGAGACGAAAGUCGGUCAUAGUGAUCCGGUGGUCCCGUGUGGAAGGGCCAUCGCUCAACGGAUAAAAGGUACUCUGGGGAUAACAGGCUGAUGACGCCCAAGAGUUCAUAUCGACGGCGUUGUUUGGCACCUCGAUGUCGGCUCAUCGCAUCCUGGGGCUGGAGAAGGUCCCAAGGGUAUGGCUGUUCGCCAUUUAAAGCGGUACGUGAGCUGGGUUUAGAACGUCGUGAGACAGUUCGGUCCCUAUCUACCGUGGGAGUAGGAGUUUUGAGAGGAUCUGCCCUUAGUACGAAAGGACCGGGGUGGACGUUCCUCUGGUGGAGCUGUUGUCGCGCCAGCGGCAUUGCAGCGUAGCUACGAACGGACAGGAUAACCGCUGAAAGCAUCUAAGCGGGAAACCCACCUCAAUACGAGAGCUCCCCUGAGAGUCGUCCCAGACCAGGACGUUGAUAGGCCGGGUGUGGAAGUGUGGUGACACAUGAAGCUUACCGGUACUAAUAACUCGAUUGGUUUGAUACU